Molecule: long non-coding RNA, 472 nt
Filed under: Cotesia glomerata
Lineage: Eukaryota; Metazoa; Arthropoda; Insecta; Hymenoptera; Braconidae
Description: uncharacterized LOC123271797
Source: RNAcentral
CACGUCUCCAGUGAAGUACCAGUUUGAUGGUAGGCAAUAGUGAAGUACAAGUUCUUGGUGAUAUACAUCUUCUACCUAUCAGUAUUACUAAUUCUAUCAAUCAUGGAUCUUACCAAGAUAAAUGAGGUUAAUUGUCUUACUGGGGUUCUUCCUGUUAAAAAAAUGAUCGAGUUGGAGUUUAAUCGAGAAUAUAAGAUUAACGGUAUCAAAGCUAUUACAACUCAGUAUGGGACUAGGAUUGUUGUCAAUAUAAACGAUGAAUUUAACAUUUAUCUACCAUCUAGAACUAUUCAACAUCUAAAAGAUGAUAACUUCAUGAAGAGUUUGAAUGAAUUAAUAGAUUUAAACUAUCUCUUUCUGCGUUUCCAUGGUGGAAAAUAUAAUAAAUUUGAAUUUAUUAAUUCUAGUCUUGAUGUAAAAAUGACCAGUGGAAUUAUUUAAUCAAUAAAAUAUUGUAUUUCAAUAUAAAUAA